UUCUAUGGACUGAUAACCUUCUAAAAAGCUAAUUCAUCUGAUCUUGGAAGCUAAGGAGGAUUGGACCAUAAAAGUACUUGGAUGGAAGACCACCCAGGAAGACCAGGUGCUGUAGGCA
RNAcentral lists this ribosomal RNA (118 nucleotides) under Pteropus alecto (black flying fox). Lineage: Eukaryota; Metazoa; Chordata; Mammalia; Chiroptera; Pteropodidae. The record is from RNAcentral.